Long non-coding RNA from Chelonia mydas (Green sea turtle), 4231 nucleotides. RefSeq lists it as uncharacterized. The record is from RefSeq and is a predicted model, not a curated record. Lineage: Eukaryota; Metazoa; Chordata; Testudines; Cheloniidae. The transcript has 2 exons.
AUUCUAAAAUAAAUGUUGAAAAGUUUGGUUCAUAAGUUGAUAGCUAUUGUUACUUAGGGUAAAAGUUGUUUUUAAAGGAUUUUAUUACAGUACAUAGUUUGUCAUGUCUAAAUAUAACAAGUUAAUGAAAUUGGUUUCAAAUAGGAAGUUUGAGGGAGAUAGUUUAGAAGUUUAAUGGCAGUUAAGAAAAAUAAUCUAAAAUGCAUUGAAAUUGUGCUUCAUAUAAUAUCUAAAGAGCUGUCAAAAGUUUCACUUUGGUUUUCCACUGUUUCAGUAGCAGUUUAAAUAAAAUCUUAUAGCUUUUGAUUGUGGACAGCACUGUUUGGGUGCACGUGUUGCCCAAAAAUAACGUCCUUAUAUAUUUUUUUGUGGUGAUACAACUUGGGCCUGGUCUACACUACAAAGUUAGGUUGAUGUAAGUCACUUUGCAUCAGCCAAUUUGCAUCUAUGCCCAAAUUUGUCUCCAGCUGAUGUAAAUGCUCUGUUAAAACGACGACGCCAUAAAUCCACCUCCAUGAAUGGCAUUGAGCCACGGUUGACUUACUGAGUUGAUGCAGUGCGAGUGUAGACACUGCGUAACAUAUGUCAAUCCUAACAGUACUCCAAUAGCUUUCUCACAAUGCCUGAUAGUGACUGCCCUGGACCCACAGUGAACUCCACUGUCCAGGGGUUACAGAGACUGGAAUCUACCUUACCACUUACAAAACCCCACUUUAUUUUUGAAAUGCCUUUUCCUGAUUGCCCCGCUUGGCAAGCACAUCUAGCAGUUCUCCCUUAUUAUGUGUAACUGCCCUACCAACCGUGUCAGCUCCGUACAUUAGACUUGCUUCUGUCUGGAGUAGAUGAGGUAUUAGAUCUCCUGGGCCUGUGGGAAGAAGAGGUUUUUCAAACACAGCUAUGGAACAGCUCCAGAAACAUGGACAUCUGUGAAAUAAUUGCAUGGGGGAUGCAGGCGACGGCAUAUGACAGGGAUCAGCAGCCGUGCCACAUGAAAGUGAAAGAACUGUAACAGGCAUACCACAAGGCCAGGAAGGCCAACAUUUGAUCUGGUGCUGAGCCACAGAUCUCCUGCUUUUACAAUAAGCUGCAUGUCAGGGUUGGCAGAGUUCCCACCAGCAUCCUGCAGACCACUGUAAAUACCUCAGAGGAGCCUGAGACAGAGACCCAGUCUGUGAACAAUGAGGAGGAGUUGGGAGACAUGGCAGGGCUGGGGGUCCAGCUAUGUCAUGAGCCAGGACCUGUUCAAGACUCCACGUCAGUCUGGCCAGUCCCAUCAGCAAAGCACCGAUGAACCUGGUGAAGGGCAAGAAACCUUGGCUGCUCCAUUGUGGCCCCCUCCACACCACUGGAACCCUGAGGAGAAGAAAGAAGAGGGCUAGUGAGAUCCUGCAAGCCAGUGAUGCAUCAGUCUGCAAACAAAAGGCCUGUAUGGCCAGCGUGGCAGAUGGCAUGGAGAGGGACAGAGAGGAUAGGAGAAAAUGGAGAAAGACCCAGAAAUCCCAGCAGGAAAAGGAGAGAGCUUCUCAGGCAGCAAACACAAAUGCUGCAUACUCUGGUUGACCUACAAGUCCAGUAGUCACCAACUUGCCACCCUUUGCAGUCCCUGGAGAACUCUAUGGUGGCAGCUUCCCAUGCACCCCAACAUUCCACCUGGCAUCCUGGGCCCCAUCCCUCCUGUGGAUAGUAAGGAAAACUACAGCUUCACAUACACUGUCCUAUGAGAGCCACAGUUGCUUUGUGUAGCCAGAAUAGACUGCACUUGUGCACUGAAAUGGACAGAAAUGUUUGCUGCCUUUCUGAUUUUAAAAUUCUGUUCCAUUAAUAUAUGUAAGAAGCUUGUAUUGUAUUGUCCUUUAUUAUAUGCACAUUGGUUAUUUUGCACUGUUUUUGUCACUCAAAUUUCUAUUAAAAAAUAUAUAAUUUUUUAAAAAAUAAAUUUAGUUCACCUCUCCUACUGCAGAAUGCAUAGUGGUACUCAAGCACCCAGUACUUUUAAGUUUAUGGCACCACAGAACUCAUAGGUUCAACAAAACACCAGAUUCAACAAAACACUAGUCAAGUGUAUAAAUGUACAGCAAGCUGCAUGUAAUUCAUAAGUUCCCUAAAAGACAGUGUCAUAUGUAUAAAUGUACCACUAGCACUACACAGUUCCUAAUUGGCCCUACUGGUUUGGGGGCUCAGCACAGACCAACAUGGUGCAUUAAUAUGGCUGACUAUUAUAGUGCUCUUUCAAAGUCUUCUACAACCGCAUAGUUCCACAUUAAGCCCUUAUGUCUUGCUAUUCAAACUCAGCAGCCACUCCACCUCCACCCUGGCAGCUUUUCCCCUUUGCCUCAGAGAUAUUAUACGAGGCACAGCAAGCUGCUAUAACCUUCGGGAUACUUUUUUUUUUUUCCCCCUGAAAUUCAGUAUUGGAAGUAAACACACCAGUGUCCCUUCAGUCUACCAAAAGCACUUUCAACUGUCCUCCUUUAAAUACUGAGCUGGUGGUUAAAUCUUUCCUGUGUGCUGUCAAGGUGGCUUUUAGUGAACCAUGGGAACAAGGGGUAGGCAGGGUCUUCCAGUAUCGUUAUAGGGAUUUCAGUAUCGCAGUGAUGAUUUGCUGGUUGGGAAAGAAUAUCUGUUUUCAGCUUUCUGAACGGUCCUAUGUUCUUAAAGAUGCGAGUGUCAUACACCUUCCCUGACCAGCGCCCAUUUAUAUCAGUGGAGCAUCCCUGGUGAUCCAUCAACACAUGCAUAGCCAUAGAAGAGUAAGCCUUUUCUGUGAAUGUACUCUGUGGCAAGGUGGGCUGGUCCCAAAAUAGAGAGAUGCAUGCCAAGUAUCGCCCCACCGCAGUUUGGGAACCCCACUGCUGCAAAUCCAUCCACUGUGUCCUGUACAGUACUGAGUCAGUCCUGCAUAGCAGGACACUAUUAACGGCCCCCAGUGUGAAUUGUCUAACUCCAGAAUGAUUUCCCACUGACCAGUACUAAUCCAGCAUUGCAAGCUUCCAAGUGUGAUUGCCAUUCGCUUCUUAACUGUCAUCGCAGCUCUUUUUCUGGUGUCCCUGCGCUGGAGGGCUGGGGCAGACAUUUGAAAGUGCUGCAGCUACUGCAUCUCAUCCUAUACCUGCCUUGCGAUGCAUCUCACCAGUCAGUGCUCAUUUCUCAGGCCCAGAAGGGCCGCUCCACUUUCUGCAGCUGCUCGGUGAACACCACCAGCAGCCUUGAAUUGUUUUUCACUCUGUCCCUUAACAGUCUGUCCUUGAAGAAAUCGUCAUGUGCCCAAGUAUUGCAGUUCUUUCUCCGUGUCUGCAGAUAUCAGGAGAUCUUGCAUCCUGUAUUUGCAACAUUCAUAAGGACAGUGCAGAGCUGCGUGGGCUCCAUGCUUUUGUCAGAGAUGGCCGAUGCAGAAAAGGGUUGUGGGGGUUUGUUGGAUUCUUAAAAGAAGCAUGAAGAUUACGGGAUAUGGAUGGCAUUAUGGGAUGGAGAAAGUUGUAUGCAGGAACUUGACCUUUCACUCCCAGAGGUCCCUGCAUGAUUCAUUUCUAUUUCACAACACAUUGCGAAAAUUUCCCAAAAAGAUUUUAGCUAUGUGGCAGUGUGUGGGGCACACUGGGAUGCCUUCCUGUGGUGCACUGCACUCUACUUUGGCACAAGCACUCCUGAGUACAUGCAGUGCAGACACAAGCAGUGUACUAACAUGGGGCAGCUGUAUGCUGAUGUAAUUUGCAUCAACCAGAAUUUGUAGUGUAGAUGUGGCCUUAUGCUUCAGUCAGCAGUCUCCUCUGGUGGAUUGUUAAUUAGGUAGUUACAAUAGACUUUCUAGUCUUGUGACUUAGAAAACUAUUAUUCCUAUCCUAAAACAAGUAGCCACAUUGGCUGCAAUAAAGAAAUAUAAAGUAAAUUCCGUUACCCUUUAUGAUCUGUAAUGCCUGUCAAACCAUGCUAUCUUGGGAGCUGAGGAAUACCUAAAGUAUAAAGAAAAAUAAAAUAUAACCUAAUGGAGAGAAGACUGAGACUUACAGAAACGCCAUUCAGAGUGAUCUAGUGUGAUGAUCCUAGUCUGACUGGCACUCAUCAAAAAUUGGCUAAUGUAUCUUAAAGAUAUUGGUUCCAAAGAUUCUGUGAUAUAGUACAAUUUUAUUACGUGUUUAUACUUAUCUUAGUUAAUAAAGACUGUUGAAUGCAUGUAUAUCUAAUACCAAACGUUUUCUUUUUCCAUACUCUCUCUCUUCCCUUAUAUCUGUAG